This is a non-coding RNA of Aegilops tauschii subsp. strangulata, 662 nucleotides long. The record is from RefSeq and is a predicted model, not a curated record. NCBI's taxonomy places the organism in Eukaryota, Viridiplantae, Streptophyta, Magnoliopsida, Poales, Poaceae.
CCACCACCACUGCUAGUAGAAUAGCCAAGAAGGCGCUUCGAUCGCCAAGAGUUUGAAGCCUUGGCAUGUAUGUACGCAUACACUGGCACAAGGAUUCUUGAAGGCAGAAGAAGCUCUGAAGGCUAAUCGCAUGAAGAUCUGUAUGGCCGAAAGCGAAGACUUGUACACAGAGGCCAGUCAAUUAUUCACCGAGAGACAAUGCCACGUGAAGAAAGCAAAGAUUCCUAAAGAUUGAAGCUUGUCAGCACUCUCUCUCGCACUUUUCUAUAUUAUUAGAAGGACACGCUUGUACCCUAGUCAGAUUUUUCUAUAUUAUUAAAGGACACGCAUGUACUCUAGUAGGACACGCGUGCAUACUACCGUGUAUAAAAUAAGUGAAGGAAGACUCCUGAAGGCCUCCCGGCAGCCACCCCUCGUGGCAAUAAAAGGAGACGCUAGGCUCAAGAACACAACACAAGACGGGAGAGCACGAAGCACUCAGAGCAUCAAGACUCUCCAUUAGAGCACCGUUUCCUUCGUAGUUUAGCCACCACCACUGUUAGUAGAAUAGCCAAGAAGGCGCUUCGAUCGCCAAGAGUUUGAAGGUAAUUUCCUAGUUGUGUGUAAUUCCUUCGGGGCCUCCCGAAAGGGAAAACCAUAUGUAAAUUAUGUUAUGGAAAUGA